RNAcentral lists this ribosomal RNA (496 nucleotides) under uncultured bacterium. RNAcentral describes it as "partial 16S ribosomal RNA". It matches the Rfam family "Bacterial small subunit ribosomal RNA", at positions 28 to 506 of the family's 1533-position model. The record is from RNAcentral.
GAUGAACGCUGGCGGCGUGCCUAAUACAUGCAAGUCGAGCGAACGGACGAGAAGCUUGCUUUUCUGAUGUUAGCGGCGGACGGGUGAGUAACACGUGGAUAACCUACCUAUAAGACUGGGAUAACUUCGGGAAACCGGAGCUAAUACCGGAUAAUAUUUUGAACCGCAUGGUUCAAAAGUGAAAGACGGUCUUGCUGUCACUUAUAGAUGGAUCCGCGCUGCAUUAGCUAGUUGGUAAGGUAACGGCUUACCAAGGCAACGAUGCAUAGCCGACCUGAGAGGGUGAUCGGCCACACUGGAACUGAGACACGGUCCAGACUCCUACGGGAGGCAGCUGUAGGGAAUCUUCCGCAAUGGGCGAAAGCCUGACGGAGCAACGCCGCGUGAGUGAUGAAGGUCUUCGGAUCGUAAAACUCUGUUAUUGGGGAAGAACAUAUGUGUAAGUAACUGUGCACAUCUUGACGGUACCUAAUCAGAAAGCCACGGCUAACUACGU